GACGAACGCUGGCGGCGUGCUUAACACAUGCAAGUCGAACGGAAAGGCCCUGCUUUUGUGGGGUGCUCGAGUGGCGAACGGGUGAGUAACACGUGAGUAACCUGUCCUUGACUUUGGGAUAACUUCAGGAAACUGGGGCUAAUACCGGAUAGGAGCUCCUGCUGCAUGGUGGGGGUUGGAAAGUUUCGGCGGUUGGGGAUGGACUCGCGGCUUAUCAGCUUGUUGGUGGGGUAGUGGCUUACCAAGGCUUUGACGGGUAGCCGGCCUGAGAGGGUGACCGGCCACAUUGGGACUGAGCUACGGCCCAGACUCCAAUGGGAGGCAGCAGUGGAGAAUAUUACACAAUGGGCGGAAGCCUGAUGCAGCAACGCCGCGUGCGGGAUGACGGCCUUGGGGUUGUGAACCGCUUUCGCCUGUGCCGAAGCGUGAGUGACGGUACUGGGUAAAGAAGCACCGGCUAACUACGUG
RNAcentral lists this ribosomal RNA (468 nucleotides) under uncultured bacterium. RNAcentral describes it as "partial 16S ribosomal RNA". It matches the Rfam family "Bacterial small subunit ribosomal RNA", at positions 28 to 507 of the family's 1533-position model. The record is from RNAcentral.